Molecule: long non-coding RNA, 2143 nt
Organism: Thalassophryne amazonica
Lineage: Eukaryota; Metazoa; Chordata; Actinopteri; Batrachoidiformes; Batrachoididae
Exons: 3
Source: RefSeq, a predicted model, not a curated record
UUCUAAUUCUAAGGGGGUCAGUGGCUAUUAUACUUUGCAGGCAUAGGGGAGGCUUGAUUUUUCUCCCCAGUGGGUAUCGUCACAGUUUUCUGAGGGGCCUAUCUAUUUAAAAUAUCUUAAACCCCAUUGUUUUGGAAUAAAAAUGGUGAGUAAAAUGUAUAUACCUUUUUAUAGUUAUGAAUCUCAUCGGAUAAUUGCAGUGCUGGUAUGUCAGUAUUUAACAACUUCUAUUGCAAAUGCUGGUCUUUAAAUUUUGCAUUAUAUUUUAUAUACUUUGCCAUAAAUGUUUAUGAAUGUUAUAUGAUGUCAUUAAUGCAAGACCUCAUCAUUGCAUGGCUGUAUGCAAUUUAGCAGUGUUGAGCAUUUAUGUGGUUCACUGACUUCAAGUUUAUAUGACCAUUGCCAUAUUGGAACAAAGCAUAUUUUUGAUUAAAAAUCUCAAUAAAAUAUAAUAUAAUAAGAGACAAUAUGAUAAUGGAUUGACCUGUCAAUUAGAUACUUAUUCUCUAUUCUGCUCUUUAAUGGUAUUUGUUUCACUAACUCUGAACUGCUUUCCUAGAGUUGUACUUUAAGUCUCUGUUUUCAUGGUAUGAAGCUAUAUUUGAAAAGUAAUAAUAAAUCCAUGACAGUUAUUUACAUGUAUUAUAUCAUUUAAGUGUGCACAGACGGUAAUUUAUUUGAGUUUAACAGUGGGCUAAACAAGACAUUGACAUUUUGGCCAUGUGACCCAUUUCUCUGUGCAUGAUCCAUCACACAGGUGCCUAAGUGUCGAGGACCCCAGUAGCAGGUGAAGGCCAAGGGGGUGCCCACGUUUCACCUGGCUGCGGCAGAUAGAUGGUUUUUUAGAGUUGAGCGAGUGGACAGUUGUCUGCCUGAGUGGUUGCCAUCCAGGAGCCCGUGCUUGGCUGCAAUUAAACAAGGGGCACUACAGAAUACCACAUAAGGAAUACAGAUGAACUUUGAAGCAGUACAAAUUAUCCAUGCACAUUUUAAGUGCAAUGAAUUAAAUAGUACUCUAUUACUCAUUGUAAAUACUCUAAAUAGUCCUUAUUUAAGGGAGUAAAAAUAAAUACCCAUGAAGUGAAAUUACUGGCCAACUAUUGAUGAACUAAAAUUGCAUUUAGGCUCCUACAGCAGUUCCAUGGUGUUGUGGAUGCGGCAAAGUGCAGCAUCAGUGCAUUCUCCCAGACUUGACUUCAGUGUCAAAGAGAAUAGCUCAUAUGGUUUGUUACAUGCAUUGACUUAGUUCGCAUGUGAGUAGAAUUUCAGAGUUUGGCCUUUUGAGCAUGAUAUUAUGCCUAAAUUUGAUAUCUGGCUAAAUGAAAUCUGUUAUUUUUGAUCCUAUCUUAGACAUAUGAUAUGAUAUGAUAAGAAAAUAUGAGAGGUAACAGAGUGCAAAGGGAUGAGGAACUUGGCAACAAAAAUAUUUCAAGAUUUUUCACCUCAGUAGUUUUUGGACUCUGACUCCAGGCCUCUGUGUUUUGGCCUCAACUGAAAUUGUGAAAUUCCUGGGCAUGAAUUUUGCAAGUAUAUUUAACACGUCCAAGGUCAGCGUGGUUUUCAGCUGUACUUUUUACACAAUUCAAAUAGAGAUAGGGGAGGUUAACCCUUUGGGAAGUAAGGAUGCUUUUCUGCAAUUACCACCAAAGUGAUACAAAUGUAAAGUCUAACUAGACCUGAACACAGAGUAAAUGAGCCCUUUGUUUUUUAAAAACUCACCAAAAGGAAAAUCUAGUAGAAUCUAGAACUGGAGUUGCAUUAGAGAGGGCAAAGCGGACCUGAACUGGAUUUGUUGUGGCAAAUGGCAGUAGCCAACACUGCCACCCCCUCCCUCCCCCAGCUCCUUGGAAUUAAAUUCUUAAUGUAGCUAAAUAGGUAAAGAUUUGGAAUUAGCAUUCAAAUUGGUGUCCCUGUCAAAUCAUAUUUUUUCUUUGCUUGUUUUGGCACAAAAAAUUUUUUUUUGGUUACCCAACUGGUGCCCAUGUUUUGCCAACACAGGGAUAAAUUUAAUUUUAAUGUAAUCUUUAUUUAACCAGUUUAAUCCCAUUAAGAUCAAGGCAUCUUUUGCGAGGGAGACCUGGACAAUUAUAAAGUUUCCAACUGACUUAUCCUGUGUUGUGUGGGCCGCUGAAGAGGAGGUACU